RNAcentral lists this ribosomal RNA (297 nucleotides) under Ralstonia sp. TFD41. RNAcentral's name for it is "partial small subunit ribosomal RNA". Lineage: Bacteria; Pseudomonadati; Pseudomonadota; Betaproteobacteria; Burkholderiales; Burkholderiaceae. The record is from RNAcentral. RNAcentral also lists the same sequence under 1 other name.
CCGGUGCUUAUUCUUCCGGUACCGUCAUCCCCCCACCGUAUUCGGGCGGAGGUUUUCUUUCCGGACAAAAGUGCUUUACAACCCGAAGGCCUUCUUCACACACGCGGGAUUGCUGGAUCAGGGUUGCCCCCAUUGUCCAAAAUUCCCCACUGCUGCCUCCCGUAGGAGUCUGGGCCGUGUCUCAGUCCCAGUGUGGCUGAUCGUCCUCUCAGACCAGAUACUGAUCGUCGGCUUGGUGGGCCUUUACCCCACCAACUAGCUAAUCAGACAUCGGUCGCUCCUGCUGGCGAGGGCUUG